AUGUGACAUUACUAAUAUUUUCUUUUAUUGAAAGACUAGUUGCUGUUGUCCUGCUGGAGCUGAGAAGUGGUCUGCUGCCUGCCAUGUGCCUAUGUCUCUCAAGUUAUCGCAAUAUUGUUGCCCUCAAAACUGAGGUCCGUUACCUGGGACACGUUUACCACCGAAAGCUUGGAGAUGGACCCGCAAUGUGUGGAAGGAAUUCUGGAAAUGACAACACCUAAGAAUGCCUCGGAGCGCAGUCUCAAAGACCUGCUUGCCGCAACAAAGGACUAAAGCACCUUGACGAAGCUCCGCGAAUAUGCCGAGUCAACAUGGCCCCCUGAGAAGCAAGAAGUUCCUGAGCCCGUCCGUGCCUACUGGCCGUACCAGGAGGAGAUACAUGCGCAGAAUGGCUUCGUGUUCCGCAGCA
Dermacentor silvarum is the source of this 409-nucleotide long non-coding RNA. RefSeq lists it as uncharacterized. NCBI's taxonomy places the organism in Eukaryota, Metazoa, Arthropoda, Arachnida, Ixodida, Ixodidae. The record is from RefSeq and is a predicted model, not a curated record. The transcript is spliced from 3 exons.